Long non-coding RNA from Panicum virgatum (switchgrass), 683 nucleotides. RefSeq lists it as uncharacterized. The record is from RefSeq and is a predicted model, not a curated record. Lineage: Eukaryota; Viridiplantae; Streptophyta; Magnoliopsida; Poales; Poaceae. The transcript is spliced from 2 exons.
AUUCCUGCCUCCGCGCACACAUGCGCAUGUGAGGCCUGCGUUGGCACCGCGCAAGUGGCGGCAGCCUUGCCGAAAACGAACCACACAGCACUUCCCUCGUCGCCGGCACUCUCACCAUUCGCCACGCCCACGGCGGCUUUGGUUUGCUGACAAAAGACGAAGCAUUUCUAUAUUCGGCAGAACCAGGCUCAGCAGGAAAGAUGUUUGGCAAGGCUGCAUCUGCAUCCAUCCAAGGUAGCAGACGACCUUGAUUGCUUGGCUUGGACUUGGACGCUUGGUCGGUAGAGAUCCGGAGAAAGAUAAGAUCUGGACGCCACGCAGUUGUACAGGUCUGGGUGACACGUUACGCUCGGUGUAUGGGCUGGGGAAAUGGGAUAAGGGGUGGAUAAGUUGAUCUGCAAAUAUGUGUGAUGUCCGUUUGAUGCCUACUUGCAAAUAAAUUGGUCUAGAAAGUGUCGUGUAUUGUUUGAAUCCAUCUUGCAGGUUUCGUGCCAGAUCGAUGCUGAUGAUAAGCAUGUGAAGCAGGAAAGUCUCCAAUAUGAUUGAUUGUGUAGGGAAUAUUCUUUUAGUCGGGUGCGUAUGUUGUUCUUAGAUGCCUGUCAGGUGUGGUACUGAAUGGCCAAUAAGGUUUAGGGUACGGGGUACCCCAUACAGAAAUUGGCUAGCACAAAAAUUCGGGCUGG